This is a long non-coding RNA of Sebastes umbrosus (honeycomb rockfish), 688 nucleotides long. RefSeq lists it as uncharacterized. Lineage: Eukaryota; Metazoa; Chordata; Actinopteri; Perciformes; Sebastidae. The transcript is spliced from 3 exons. The record is from RefSeq and is a predicted model, not a curated record.
GGCUUGAGCCCCGGUAAGCCCGUAUAUUAAGACGGCGGUGCCGGGAGAGUGUGUAUUGUCAGAACGGGACCGACGUGUAGGCUGUCAUGUGUCGCGGCCAUGUCACGACAAGAAUUUAUGACUCUCAAUCGUCUAACCUGACAUAGUGACCAUCGUAACCAUCAAAAAUAUCCUGUAGUCUGAAUCUGCCAAGCCAGAGCAAAGUCAGUCCGUCAGGUCUGUGUGUAUCGGAGUGAAGGAGAGUAAAGUUAGUUCAGGAGUGGGACCAGGUGUGAGAUGUCUGUGUGUGUGAGAGUGAGUGUGACACUGAGAAAGACAGAAAGUAAAUACAUGAAAAAUGACAAACCUUAAAAAAUAUUUUCAUCCCUGUUUCAACCCCUCUUUCAGCUGAUUCCAUCCACAAUUUAUUUUGUGGCUGACGGAGGGGAUGUGGUGCUGCCCGGCCCCACUGGCUACGUUGACCGUAUCAAUGUAGGCAGCCGAUAUGAGGUCUGCGGGGGGAGGGCCCUGCAUCCCAGGCAGCUGAAACUGUACCCUCAAGACAGCCUGGAACUUUUCAGUUCCAGGCGAGGCCUGCAGCAUCUCUUGGUCAUGCUGGACCUCCACCCCCACGAGCAGCGCGACUGUUCACAAGGAACAUACUAAUCGGAAGGGUGGAGAGGGGAAACCUCCAAGUUGAUGGGGCAAC